AUGGCGCCCUCACGCAGAGCGGACCGGCUCCUCUUCCUCCCCCUCGCGCUGCUGCACCUCCUCUCCUCCUGCCCGCACACCGCCAGCGGCGCGCCCAACACGGCACCGCUCUCCGUGAUCUGCAACGGCGCGGUGUACGGCGCCGGGGACCCCUUCGCGGAGAGCCUCGCCUACGUGCUGGCCGUCCUGCUGGCCGCCACGCCGCAGUCCCGCUCCCGCGACGCCUACAGCAUCUCCCCGUACCCGAACGCGUUCGCCUACGGCCACGCCGUGUGCCGCGCCGGUCUGUCGGGCGCGGACUGCGCGAGCUGCCUCGGCUCCGCCGUCAGCCAGAUGAACGCCACCUGCAGCCACGCCGUCGGCGCGAGGGCCGUGCUCGUGGACUGCAGCGUGCGGUACGAGCAGUACGCCUUCGUGGCUUAG
RNAcentral lists this ribosomal RNA (423 nucleotides) under Triticum aestivum (bread wheat). RNAcentral describes it as "partial small subunit ribosomal RNA". Lineage: Eukaryota; Viridiplantae; Streptophyta; Magnoliopsida; Poales; Poaceae. The record is from RNAcentral.